GUGCUCACUUCAGCAGCACAUAUACUAAAAUUGGAAAUGAUACAGAGAAGAUUAGCAUGGUUCCUGUGCAAGGAUGACAUGCAAAUUCGUGAAGCAUUCCAUAUUUUU
This is a small nuclear RNA of Nomascus leucogenys (northern white-cheeked gibbon), 108 nucleotides long. Lineage: Eukaryota; Metazoa; Chordata; Mammalia; Primates; Hylobatidae. The record is from Ensembl.